This is a long non-coding RNA of Orbicella faveolata, 216 nucleotides long. The record is from RefSeq and is a predicted model, not a curated record. NCBI's taxonomy places the organism in Eukaryota, Metazoa, Cnidaria, Anthozoa, Scleractinia, Merulinidae.
AUCAAAUGGUGUACGGCUGUAUACCACUGAAGAAGACGAAGUAAGUUGUGAAUCAUGGAGGCUGUUAGCAAGUGAGACAGGUGAAUUGGUUGAAGUUGUUGACUACCUUGAGACCAAGUCAGUGGUGAACCCCAAAGAAAUAGCUCUUGCAAAAAGAGAGGAAAUGAAAAAGAAGGGAGAGAUCAAGAGCCCUGGAAAAAAGCCAGGAAGAAAAAG